RNAcentral lists this ribosomal RNA (728 nucleotides) under uncultured bacterium. RNAcentral's name for it is "bacterial SSU rRNA". It matches the Rfam family "Bacterial small subunit ribosomal RNA", at positions 771 to 1501 of the family's 1533-position model. The record is from RNAcentral.
AACAGGAUUAGAUACCCUGGUAGUCCACGCCGUAAACGAUGAGUGCUAGGUGUUGGGGGUUUCCGCCCUCUGUGCCGAAGGUAACCCUAUAAGCACUCCGCCUGGGGAGUACGGCCGCAAGGCUGAAACUCAAAGGAAUUGACGGGGGCCCGCACAAGCGGUGGAGCAUGUGGUUUAAUUCGAAGCAACGCGAAGAACCUUACCAGGUCUUGACAUCCCGCUGAUCGGUGUAGAGAUAUGCCUUUCCUUCGGGACAGCGGUGACAGGUGGUGCAUGGUUGUCGUCAGCUCGUGUCGUGAGAUGUUGGGUUCAGUCCCGCAACGAGCGCAACCCUUGUCGUCAGUUGCCAGCACGUAAAGGUGGGCACUCUGGCGAGACGGCCGGUGAAAGCCGGAGGAAGGUGGGGAUGACGUCAAAUCAUCAUGCCCCUUAUGUCCUGGGCUACACACGUGCUACAAUGGCCGGUACAACGGGUAGCGAACCCGCGAGGGGGAGCCAAUCCAAAAAACCGGUCUCAGUUCGGAUCGCAGGCUGCAACUCGCCUGCGUGAAGCUGGAAUCGCUAGUAAUCGCGGAUCAGCAUGCCGCGGUGAAUCCGUUCCCGGGCCUUGUACACACCGCCCGUCACACCACGAGAGUCUGCAACACCCGAAGUCGGUGAGGUAACCUUCGGGAACCAGCCGCCGAAGGUGGGGCAGAUGAUUGGGGUGAAGUCGUAACAAGGUAACC